Molecule: RNA transcript, 824 nt
Organism: Cryptomeria japonica (Japanese cedar)
Lineage: Eukaryota; Viridiplantae; Streptophyta; Pinopsida; Cupressales; Cupressaceae
Gene name: F-box protein At1g11270-like
Exons: 2
Source: RefSeq, a predicted model, not a curated record
UAAGGAUACCCAAAUUAAAAUUGACUUUCCUAAUUCAUCGUACCCGUAAAAUAGCUAUACCUAGCUAUAUAAGAACUGAAAGGGAAAAUUUCUAUAUGAGAAAAUAUCCAACGAGUGAUUCGGGAAAGAUUCUGACGAGCCCCUCAGUAUUGAGUAAUUAAAUGUUUUAGCAUGGCUGGGGAACAUACUGUAGAUGAAGUAGAGAGAGUGAAUAUGGUAGAGACAGCGGCAAACAAUUCAGAAUCUGUGUGGGAGAAGACACCGUAUCAUUUAAUGGAGGAAAUCUUGGAGUAUCUUCCAUUAGAAUCUGUUUUCCGCUUUUGCAUUGUGUCCAAAGAGUGGAAUUCUCUUUUGUCUUCUGAAAGAUUUCAUGUUCCUCAGCUGGAGAGAUUUGUACUUAGUAAGGGAAUGCAUGCAGUCAAUGUCAGCUUUGCGCGUUCUCUGGGUCAGCUUCCUGCGCACAUUGUGGAUGAUAUAUUACAGAUGUUGUAAGUGGGUUUUCUUCAGACAGAGGGAUGCUUGUAGAAUUCUCUUAGUUCUGCUGAAAUUUUGUGACCCAAUUGUUUCGUAUAUAUAAAGGUCCCAGAUUUGGUGGUUGCAAACUAGAAUCUGAACAUUUAUAUUCAGAAGCUGGCUAUUAGAGGAUGAAAAGUUGAACAAUUGUGAAUGAGUGAUGGGAUUGUUUUGCCUCACAAGUUGGUCAACCAUAUAUCAGUGAUUUGACACUUUAUCAUGUAAAAUUGUACAAAUUGUAAUACAAUAUUUUAUAUUUGUUUUAUAAAAUUGUACAAAUAUUAAUAUAAUCAUUUUACAAUUGUAUUUUA